Molecule: ribosomal RNA, 490 nt
Filed under: uncultured bacterium
Lineage: Bacteria
Description: partial 16S ribosomal RNA
Rfam family: Bacterial small subunit ribosomal RNA
Source: RNAcentral
GAUGAACGCUAGCGAUAGGCUUAACACAUGCAAGUCGAGGGGCAGCAUGGUCUUAGCUUGCUAAGACUGAUGGCGACCGGCGCACGGGUGCGUAACGCGUAUGCAACUUGCCUCACAGAGGGGGAUAACCCGUCGAAAGACGGACUAAUACCGCGUACACUCUAUUUUGGGCAUCCAAGGUAGAGGAAAUGAAAUUCGCUGUGAGAUAGGCAUGCGUCCCAUUAGCUAGUUGGUGAGGUAACGGCUGACCAAGGCGACGAUGGGUAGGGGAACUGAGAGGUUGAGCCCUCACAGUGGUACUGAGACAAGGACCAGACUCCUACGGGAGGCAGCAGUGAGGAAUAUUGGUCAAUGGGCGAGAGCCUGAACCAGCCAAGUCGCGUGAAGGAUGACUGUCUUAUGGAUUGUAAACUUCUUUUGUAGGGGAAUAAAGAGGGGCACGUGUGCCCCAGUGAAUGUACCCUACGAAUAAGCAGCGGCUAACUCCGUG